UGUCCGUACAUUACAAAGGCACACUGGAAACUAAGCUGAGGAAAAUUACACCCAUUUUCUGACCUGCUUGCUAAUACGAUGUUUACAUCGCUGACGUAAUGAGCAAACCCAUUAUCAUGAGCUUCAGCUGUUUACAACAGGUCUGAACUUUAUCGUUUUCUUUUUUGUAGCUCUGGCUGUGCAGAUUAAUGUAAUGAUGUAAGGUGUGUCAGAUGGCUUCCUUCUGCAGGCAGAGAACACCUCUGCAGCCGCUGUUAGCGCAGGCCUCCGGAGGUGCCUCACUGAAGGGACGUUCUCAUUUUGUGGUGUGGAAGAGAAUCCACAUUAACAGGCAGUUACAAAUAACGGCUGUGACGGAGGAGCAAAACCUUUCCCAACAGCAGCAGUGCAUGUGGGUAGUGUGCACUCAGCAAGGAGAUGCAGCAUACCUGAAGUCUUGGAGCAGUGCUUUUAGGUAGGAAAAAAGGGCUACAAGGGUUCUUCUGCUAACAGAACAGGAAGUCCCUUAUCUUCUAAAGCUGCGUGACUCCAUGCUUAAUUGCAGGCUCCAGGCAGAUACGAAACAUGCCUUGCUCAAAUGAAUUACUUGAGCCUGUACAAGCAAUUUCAGGACCUACGGCAUAGAAGCCAGAUGAGACAAUCUAACCCUCAACUCUUUGAAUAAAAGACAAAUAAGUGAAAGAAGAAGAUGAGCAGAGGCCAAGACAGUGAUGAUUUAGUGAAGCACAACAUUAAAAGAACAGGAAAAAAAAAGAAAGUUUACCAAUAAGAAAUCACUUCUGGUUUGAUGGUGACCCUUCCCUAAGGGAUCAUCCUUCUUGGUGCCCUCACAUCACUCCCAAAGUCCAGUAUUUAACACAAAAUUAGGGCUCCUGCGGCUCCUCCUCUUCCUUCAGCCUGCAGAAAGGUUGAUCAUAAAGGC
This 922-nucleotide long non-coding RNA is filed under the name Gallus gallus (chicken). RNAcentral describes it as "long non-coding RNA NONGGAT002533". Lineage: Eukaryota; Metazoa; Chordata; Aves; Galliformes; Phasianidae. The record is from RNAcentral.